UUCUAGAGCUAAUACAGCAAAACUCCGACCAGCAUUUAUAAAACCAAUGGUGACUCUCAAUGACUUUGCUGACCACAUUAGCACUGGGGACACACCUAUUUUGUGUCUGCCCAAUCAACUUUCGAUGGUAGUUUAUGUGCCUACCAUGGUGGUAACGCGUAACGGAGAAUCCGCGAAGGAGACCUCAGAGCGUGGAGGAAGACUCCCUCCUUCGUCAAGGGC
RNAcentral lists this ribosomal RNA (222 nucleotides) under Bolbonema brevicolle. RNAcentral describes it as "partial small subunit ribosomal RNA". Lineage: Eukaryota; Metazoa; Nematoda; Chromadorea; Desmodorida; Desmodoridae. The record is from RNAcentral.